Molecule: long non-coding RNA, 2052 nt
Organism: Macaca mulatta (Rhesus monkey)
Lineage: Eukaryota; Metazoa; Chordata; Mammalia; Primates; Cercopithecidae
Source: Ensembl
UUCUGUAUCACGUUCCUCACAACUGUUUUAUUAUUCACCUUAACUAUUAGUACAUACACAGCACUGAUGGAUAAAGAUUCUACAGAAUACAGUACGGUUGUGAGUCCCCUUUCCUAACUGGAAGUUUUUCAGUCCUGCUAUGCGGUUAUACUUAUUUCCCAUGCUACUCAAGUUAAUUUACCAGAGUUGUAGAUAUUUGUCCAUUUAGGACCAUUUUCGGACUCCAUGCUAAAGGGUCAGAUAAUGAAGUGAAGGUCAAGGUGGUUGGAUUUUUGACUACAAGGCUAGUACAGUCUUGAGCAGCCUGAGUCUUGAGUGUUAGGGAAUAAUGACUAUAAGCCUGGAACUGCCCACCCUGCCCUGUACUUGCAGGAAUACAAGAAUGCAGGUCACCUUUCAACAAAACCUGGCUUUGUGGAUUAUGUAUGAAGUCAGUCUCUUCCUGGUACUUUCCUUUCAACCUCAUUAGUAAUCCCCUUCCCUCAUGCUAUUCACUCCAUGUAAUUCCUCAGCUUCAGAAAUAGACCCUAUGUUUAGAAUUUUUGGCAAAUGCUUUCUGGUUUCCACAGGUGGAAGCUGGAAAGCAGUCCCAAGUGUCAAUGGCAGAACACCGAUGCCUGAAUCCAGUUCCACCUUUCCUGUGUAUCCUCUUCCACUUACCUUACUUCCCCUUCAUGUUGAACCAACGUUAAUAGGUGCAAGGUAAGGAGGACUGGUUUGAAGCUGCUAGUAAAGGCUUCCUUUUCAGGCUAGAAGCUAGUAGGACAGAAAUGGGUACCAUGCAAAGAGCAAAGCCAUUAGCUGGUGAUUGGCAAAAUGGAGGCAGAAGGAAAUAAGGGAGUGUUGCUAAGAGUAUCAGCAGAAACUAGACAUACAGGUUUUAGCAAAAGUAUUUUGGCAAACGGACUAGAGGAAGCAGGGGUGAGGGAUGAAGGCAAAAGACACAUGAAUGCAUCUUCAAGGAGCUAAGACCUUGAUGUAGGAUGAGGGCAGAGAGAAAGGGAUGUCUUUGGAGAAACUUUUGAUGUCUUGCAGGCAUGAGAUGAGUUCAGAAGCAAUCAGUGCUGGAAGGAUAUGCAAAAUAAAAGUUAAGAGAAGCUAAGGAUAUAGAAGGCAUCCUGAAAGUAAAACAGCUGAGGGCCACAAAGCAUAUAAUGGAAAAUCUGUUAAGCUGGGGAGGUCAGGUAGGAGAGGAAAGAACAGUCCCUCCCAAGGGAGGUCAGUGGUAAAAGGAAGUGUGAAUGAAGUGAACAGAGAAUGCAGCUAGGCCUUCCCCUAGGAGAUAGCUACUGAGUGUCUUAUAAGCCAGACUAUUAAGAGGAAAGGGAAGUGUGAGGUCCAUUAGCCUUUUGUUGUGAACUAUGAGCAUAAACACAAACCAAGAAUGACAAUAACUUACAGGGCUAAAUUCUGGUUCUUCAAUAAUUCUAUUCCCUUUACCAACAAUUGAUUCAAAAAUAGACAUGUGGCUGGGCGCAGUGGCUCACACCUGUAAUCCCAGCACUUUGGGAAGCCAAGGUGGGCGGAUCAUGAGGUCAGGAGAUCGAGACCCUCCUGGCUAACACGGUGAAACCCCAUCUCUACUAAAAAUAUUUAAAAAUUACCCAGGCGUGGUGGCGGGCGCCUAUACUCCUGGCUACCUGGGAGGCUGAGGCAGAAGAAUGGUGUGAACCUGGGAGGCAGAGCUAGCAGUGAGCUCAUGCUACUGCACUCUGGCCUGGGUGACAGAGUGAGACUCCAUCUCAAAAAAAAAAAAAAGAAAAAUCCAGGUGAGAGACCAUGGUGGACUGGACAUAAAGACCAAUGGUCACCCAGGCUGGAGUACAAGCAAGACUCCGUCUCAAAAAAAAAAAAAAAAAAAUUUCAAAAAUACAAAAUUAGCAGGGCAUGGUGGUACAUGCCUGUAAUCCCAGCUACUCGGGAGGCUGACACAGGAGAAUCGCUUGAGCCCGGGAGGCGGAGGUUGCGGUGAGCAGAGAUCACGCCAUUGCACUCCAGCCUGGGCAACAAGAGCGAAACUAUCUCAAAAAAAAAAAAAAAAAAAAAGAAGAA